RNAcentral lists this ribosomal RNA (811 nucleotides) under uncultured prokaryote. Its description in RNAcentral is "bacterial SSU rRNA". It matches the Rfam family "Archaeal small subunit ribosomal RNA", at positions 43 to 847 of the family's 1478-position model. The record is from RNAcentral.
ACUAAGCCAUGCGAGUCAAGGGGCUCCCCUUUUGGGGAGCACCGGCGAACGGCUCAGUAACACGUGGCUAACCUACCCUCGGGUGGGGGAUAACCUCGGGAAACUGAGGCUAAUCCCCCAUAGGGGAGGAGGUCUGGAAUGAUCCCUCCCCGAAAGCCCGUAAGGGCGCCCGAGGAUGGGGCUGCGGCGGAUUAGGUAGUUGGUGGGGUAACGGCCCACCAAGCCUACGAUCCGUACGGGCCCUGAGAGGGGGAGCCCGGAGAUGGACACUGAGACACGGGUCCAGGCCCUACGGGGCGCAGCAGGCGCGAAACCUCCGCAAUGCGCGAAAGCGCGACGGGGGGACCCCGAGUGCCCUCCCUCUGGGAGGGCUUUUCCGGAGUGUAAACAGCUCCGGGAAUAAGGGCUGGGCAAGUCCGGUGCCAGCAGCCGCGGUAAUACCGGCGGCCCAAGUGGUGGCCACUGUUAUUGGGCCUAAAGCGUCCGUAGCCGGCCCGGUAAGUCCCUGCUUAAAUCCCGCGGCUUAACCGCGGGGCUGGCAGGGAUACUGCCGGGCUAGGGACCGGGAGAGGCCGGGGGUACCCCAGGGGUAGCGGUGAAAUGCGUUGAUCCCUGGGGGACCACCUGUGGCGAAGGCGCCCGGCUGGAACGGGUCCAACGGUGAGGGACGAAGGCCGGGGGAGCAAACCGGAUUAGAUACCCGGGUAGUCCCGGCUGUAAACUCUGCGGACUAGGUGUCGCGUGCCCUUCGGGGGCACGCGGUGCCGAAGGGAAGCCGUUAAGUCCGCCGCCUGGGGAGUACGGUCGCAAG